UGGAAGAUUGCCUAUUCAGUUCCUGGACGCAGCAGGUCACUUAUUGAAGCUUCAAUAAACUCAGAUUUCUUUUUUGAUCAUUGUAUUGUAUUGUAUUAUCAGUUGCUAUGAAUAAAAAUAGGAAAGAAAAACACUGAGGGAAGUUCCAUUUAUAUCAUGCAUGAAAUAACAGUCACCAGACCAUAAAUUGUUGUUUUAAGAGUGUGGGCGAAAUGGGAACAACCCAUUGAGAAGAAUUAACUUGGUUUUCCUGAAGUUUGUCGAAGAUAAAUUAUGAACUCUCUGACUUGAAAGGUCAGAGCUGGAGAGGGAAAAGGAAUGUCUACUCGCUGAGGAGAAGUGCCUGACUAGAUCCCGUCUCCAAGCUGAAAUAAAGGAGCUACAUUCUUCAAUGGAAGGUUCAAAAAUCGAGAAACCAGCAAGUGACCCCCCAGAUAGCAUUCAGACGUUGGCCCAACGUCGGCAAUGGUUGGCAGUGUCGCGGUCGGAUUUUAUACGUUGGCCCAACGUUGUUACAACGUAAGGUCGCAUUUCGGAAAUUAUUUCCAAGGGGCGCUACUCGUAAUUGACAACUUCACAGAGAGGGCGCUGCGUUUUUUGCGCAUCUCAACGAGCAGACGACGAGACACAAGCACAGGCUCGAUCAUCGGAAUACCGUUUUCCUCGAAUAUAUAGAGGUGGAGUUUACAGUAUUGUGGAAGCAUAUUUGUUUACAUCACAUCACAGCCAGAAAGUUACCAAGGCACACGGAGAGACUGUGGAUACAGUUGAAGAUCAUCCCUGUGCAAAGUUCUUCUGACAUCUGAGGAUUGAAAAGGUCUACUCAACCACUCAGCCCAAGUUCUGAUUUGUCAUGUAACAAAUAAAUAAAGGUCACCGAAACCAGAA
Long non-coding RNA from Haliotis rufescens (red abalone), 888 nucleotides. RefSeq lists it as uncharacterized. The record is from RefSeq and is a predicted model, not a curated record. Lineage: Eukaryota; Metazoa; Mollusca; Gastropoda; Lepetellida; Haliotidae. The transcript is spliced from 3 exons.